Molecule: ribosomal RNA, 332 nt
Filed under: uncultured bacterium
Lineage: Bacteria
Description: bacterial SSU rRNA
Rfam family: Bacterial small subunit ribosomal RNA
Source: RNAcentral
CACGCAGGCGGUUCUGCGCGUUUCGAGUGACAGCGGGUGGCUUAACUGCCCGAGGAUUCGAAAGACGGCAGGACUUGAGGGCCAGAGAGGGACACGGAAUUCCGGGUGGAGUGGUGAAAUGCGUAGAGAUCCGGAGGAACACCGAAGGCGAAGGCAGUGUCCUGGCUGGUGACUGACGCUGAGGUGCGAAAGCUAGGGGAGCGAACGGGAUUAGAUACCCCGGUAGUCCUAGCCGUAAACGAUGACCACCAGGUGUGGGAGGUAUCGACCCCUUCCGUGCCGGAGUUAACACACUAAGUGGUCCGCCUGGGGAGUACGGUCGCAAGAUUAAA